RNAcentral lists this long non-coding RNA (2927 nucleotides) under Homo sapiens (human). RNAcentral's name for it is "non-protein coding lnc-BDH1-5:8". Lineage: Eukaryota; Metazoa; Chordata; Mammalia; Primates; Hominidae. The record is from RNAcentral.
CAAAUUCUAGUUUUUCUUGGCUACAAGUCUUCAAUAUAACGUUUUCAAUUUUUUCCCUUUCUUUUUUCUAUUUUUCCUAAUUUGGAGUCACUGAAAGCUAAGCUGUGCUUUGUGAAGCCCUGUGAACUGAAGCUAGACAACUUAAACUUCAGAAGAAAAUAACAGCAACCUGUUUACAUAUAUAAGCUACUUUCAUACCUGCCUACUGAUGUAUGGACUUCAGAGUAGUGUGGCCUAUAUCGAUUUUCUAGGAUCAUUAUUUUGUUUGUUGUUUUUCUCCCUUCCUCCACCUAUUUUCUCUUCAUAGGACAUGAGGAUUCUCAACCUGAUAAAAAUGAGCUUUCCUAAUAACUCAAGACCCAUCUGCCUAGGAAUAAACCAUCCCAGCUGUGAGAGACCAGACGAAACCUGAGACCAGAGACUCGUUUUCUUCUAAAAUGCUUUCUCCAAAAGAUUUUUAAACAGAAAAAGGGGGAAAUGUGAAAGGAAAAGAAAACUUGAGGCCCCCAAAAUCACUAAGCUAAAAGGAAAAGUCAAGCUGGGAAUGGCUUAGGGCAAACCUGCCUCCCAUUCUAUGCAAAGUCAUCCCUCCGUGCACUGAGAUAAAUGCUUAUCUAAUUGCCUCCUUUGGAGAGGCUCAUCAGAAACUCAAAAUAAUGCAACCAUUUGACUCUCACCUACCUGUGACCUGGAAGAUCCCUCUCUGCUUGAGUUGUCCUGCUUUUCUGGAUGGAACCAAUGUUCAUCUUACAUAUAUUGAUUGAUGUCUCAUGUCUCCCUAAAAUGUAUAAAACCAAGCUGUGCCCUGACCACCUUGGGCACAUGUCGUCAGGACCUCCUGAGGCUGUGCCACAGGCAUGCAGCCUCAACCUUGGCAAAAUAAACUUUCUAAAUUGACUGAGACCAGUCUCAGAUAUUCAGGGUUCACAGUAUCCAAAAAUCCAAUCACAUCUGAAACCGCCUUUGCAAAAAUUAUCACAGUGAGAAAAUAAUGGCAGUGAAAGAAAGCUGAUCUAGCCAACCUCCCUCUUGCCUUUAGCUUUCAAGCUGCUUUUACUUAUUCCUGGGUUUAAGCCAAGCUACAUGUGGGAGUCAUUUAGUUGAUAGUUUAAAUUAUAAUAACCCUUCCCCGAAACUCAACCACCCUUGUAAUACUGAGAGACCACCAGGCUAGGAGGAGGAGAGGAGCCUAAAUUCUGCUAAGGUGUAGACAAAAACAAUUGUGAGGCGUUAUUCCAGAAGCCACAAGAUAUGCAACUUCCUCAGUUACCCCUGCAGAUAAUGUUACUUUUGUAGAACCUAGGAUUGGCCUUCUGAGAUAUCUUCUCAGGAUUUUGCAUGUCUGAUGACCGAUGGCUCCACCGGGACCAGCCAACGGCUUCUGUGUCCCCACCCAGAAGCGACUCAGAGAAAGAGGACAGCUUCGACACCCUAUGAUUUCAUCUCUGACCCAACCAAUCAGCACUCCCCAUACCCUAGCCUGCUACCUACCAAAUUACCUUUGAAAAAUCCCUAACCUCCAAGCCUUAGAUGAGUUUGAUUUGAGUAAUAACUCUGCCUCCCACAUGGUGUGGCUGGCAUCAUGUCAAUUAACCUCUUUCUUUACUGCAGUGCCAUGGUCUCCAUGAACUGAUUUUUUUGUGCAGUGGGCAGGAAGAACCCAUCGGGCAGCUACACAUCUUGAAAGAGAAGCUCUUCCUGUGAGGCAAGUAUUGUUCCUGUACAAAACAGGCUGCCGGGUGCCGUAUGGGAGCGCCGCCUCCAGGUGAGCCAUCCUGGGUUCCAGUCCAGCCUCUAUUCACUUCAGGUGGGUGUUUUACCUCUAAACCUCAGCAUUGCCAUCUGCACAUAGAACCAGCCUUUCUGGUUUCCAGCUGAAAAUAGGUUAUGACUAGAAAAGUAAAGAAUGUUGAAUUGGGCCGGGCGCGGUGGCUCACGCCUGUAAUCCCAGCACUUUGGGAGGCCAAGGCGGGCAGAUCACCUUAGGUCAGAAGAUCCAGACCAUCCUAGCUAACACGGUGAAACCCCGUCUCUACUAAAAAUACAAAAAAUUAGCCGGGCCUGGUGGCGGGCGCCUGUGAUCCCAGUUACUCAGGAGGCUGAGGCAGGAGAAUGACGUGAACACGGGAGGUGGAGCUUGCAGUGAGCCGAGAUCGCACCACCGCACUCCAGCCUGGGAGACAGAGCGAGACUCCGUCUCAAAAAAAAACAAAAAAAAAUAGUGUAGAAUUGCCUUUUGGAAGUACCCUCCCUUCCUUUUUACACAGACAGCCGGGGCUUGGUGAGGAAAGCUUGCCCAGGAACCCAAGGGAGCGAGAACAACAGACAAGCCAGGCAGCCCCGGCUACGAUGGCUCUUACCGGGCACCUGAGCCUUCUUUAGACAGGGUCUCUAUUUGCAGAGAAUGAGCGGCCAAUUACGAAUGAAUGUGCUUGCCUCUGCAUGCAUAGCCCCUCACAGUUUACACACACAUUAGUCACUCUGCAGGCUGCACAGGCUUCUGUCGCUCCCAGAUGUUCAUCGCUCCUGGAAACGAUUCGGUCUUUCCCAGCCCAGCGCCAGGCAGCUCCUCAGAUCCCAAGGCACUUGGCUUCCCCUGGAGCACAGCGUUCUCUCCACGGGGAUGGCUGGGCAGGAGAAAGGACUCUGAAGAUGGGCCUGUCCCUGCCUCCAGCCCAGCUCUGCUUCCCCUCAGCAACCUUGGGCCUCCGUUGGGGCUGGGUGGGCUCAGCCUCCUCCUCUGCCUUAGAGCAGUGCCUUCCCACGUGGGGCGAGGUCCCCCCGGAGUUGUCAUCUGUGAUCAGGGCAUUUUAAGCAGAAGCUGGAGCUCUCCCUUUGGUGGACUCUUGUCCGAUGCUGGAGAAGGGCGACCUCUAGUGUUGGUUCAUAGAAGCGGCAUAGCGGCUUCUUCCUGCCUCUGAGCCCUG